UAUGUGAUCGUCUCUCGCAUAUCAAUAAGCGGAGGAAAAGAAACUAACAAGGAUUCCCCUAGUAACGGCGAGUGAAGCGGGAAGAGCUCAAAUUUGAAUCUUAAAGGGUUUCCCUUUACGAAUUGUAGUUUAAAGAAGUGUUUUCUGUUGAGGUUUUGGUAAAAGUUCUUUGGAAUAGGACAUCAUAGAGGGUGAGAAUCCCGUAUUUGACCUUUACUUUCAACUUUGUGAUACACUUUCAAAGAGUCGGAUUGUUUGGGAAUGCAGUCCAAAAUGGGUGGUAAAUUUCAUCUAAAGCUAAAUAUUGGCGAGAGACCGAUAGCGAACAAGUACCGUGAGGGAAGGAUGAAAAGAACUUUGAAAAGAGAGUUAAACAGUACGUGAAAUUGUCAAAAGGGAAGCGUUUGACACCAGUGUUGUUUUUCUGAAAAUCAAUUAAAGAACUGUUUAUGCUAAGCUGUUUAGACUUUAUCAGCUAACUGUUUAGUUUUGAGCUUUUCUUUAAUGCACUUUUCAGUUAACAAGUCAACAUCAAUUUCUUUUGCUGUAAAAAAGCUUGAGGAAGGUGGCUUGAGAUUCGUCUUAAGUGUUUAUAGCCUCUUGCCUAUGCAGUCGGAGAGAUUGAGGUCUGCAGCGUAGAUCCUUCGGGGCUAAAUGCAUUUGUGCUAAGUUAUAGCAUUUUAUAGACAACUUGUUGACUAUGAUUUGUCUUGUAGUUUACUCGCUUAUGUUAUUUUACCUACGCUUAGGAUGUUGAACGCGCACAGAGUCUC
This 773-nucleotide ribosomal RNA is filed under the name uncultured Neocallimastigales. Its description in RNAcentral is "partial large subunit ribosomal RNA". It matches the Rfam family "Eukaryotic large subunit ribosomal RNA", at positions 24 to 635 of the family's 3401-position model. Lineage: Eukaryota; Fungi; Neocallimastigomycota; Neocallimastigomycetes; Neocallimastigales. The record is from RNAcentral.